UACGUAGGGACCGAGCGUUGUCCGGAAUCAUUGGGCGUAAAGAGCGUGUAGGCGGCCCGAUAAGUCUGGUGUGAAAUCUUGAGGCUCAACCUCAAGCUGUCAUCGGAUACUGUCGGGCUAGAGUCCGGAAGAGGAGAGUGGAAUUCCUGGUGUAGCGGUGGAAUGCGCAGAUAUCAGGAGGAACAUCCGUGGCGAAGGCGGCUCUCUGGUACGGUACUGACGCUGAGACGCGAAAGCGUGGGGAGCGAACAGG
Molecule: ribosomal RNA, 253 nt
Filed under: uncultured bacterium
Lineage: Bacteria
Description: partial 16S ribosomal RNA
Rfam family: Bacterial small subunit ribosomal RNA
Source: RNAcentral